GGUGACCUCCUGGGAAGUCCUCGUGUUGCACCCCCU
RNAcentral lists this ribosomal RNA (36 nucleotides) under Chenopodium strictum. The record is from RNAcentral. Lineage: Eukaryota; Viridiplantae; Streptophyta; Magnoliopsida; Caryophyllales; Amaranthaceae.